UAUUUUUAAUAACAAUCGAAUGGAGUCGCCCUAAUUUACGUCGUCUCACAUGAAUGAUGCAAAUUGCAAAAAGGUUCGAAAUACAAAACUGCCCGCGCUAUCCUCCAAAGCGCGCUACUCUUUUCGAAAAGAAGCUAAAGGACAUAGUUGGAGGGAACGAUCAGCAAAGAGUUCGGUUGAGUUCAGUUCAGAAUAGUCUAGAGAUUCAUAUAUUCUUACACGAGGAGUCACUGCUUGUUGGAAAUUAAACGGAGUUUGUUUGUUGUCUUAGUUGAGAAUCACUAACUCGAUCUCACGUAGAAUGGUUUGAACCACUUGAAAAAGAGGCAUUGCUUGCAAAGCAAAUGGUGGAAUGCAACACACUUUGAGCAAAAAGAGGGAACAGGCAAGUUGUUACUACUCUAAUUCAUUUUAGAUGGAUGAAAUCUUUUAGAUUUACUUACAUAGUUAUAUAUUACAAGAGAUGUGGUUUAAAGUUUUUUUUUUACUCGUCUGGCAUGUUGUUGGUGGAUUAUUGAGUAGAAUGGAUAAGGCCUAUGCAUAUUAAAUGGUACUUUUGGGUGUGUAGAUAAAAUCGAGCAUUUGAAAAUCUUAAACUAUGUUUAUCAAUGUAAUCAUGGUUGAUGGAACAGGCCAAAAAUGGUUGUUUAUUUAUUUGGUGAAGUGUUUUUUUAAAUUUUUUUAUGUGGAUCCAUUUUCUUAGCAAGGAAUUCCCAACUUGUGCUUCAAUAGCCUGUUAAUUAUAGAUCUGGUUAAACUGAAAGCCCUUUUUCUUUUGGCCGUUCAGUCCAGAAAAUUAUCGCUAGGCUACAGCUACUGUUGCAAAUGGGCCAGUGACCAUGGGAAAUUAAUUGACCUUAUAAUCCCCUUGACAGUGAUCUACAUGUCAAAAAAGAAAAAAAAAAAUUAACUGUGUCUUCACGUUCAUGGCUUUUCUCCCUUCCACUUGUCAUGUUGCAAAUGGAUGGACUAUGUAUCGGUUCUUAAUUUUUCCCCCUCAGCAAUACUGUACACCAAACACGUACAUUUUUAUUUUCUAAAAUCACAAAUUUUUUUACCCUUGUCAUGAAUAAAGAUUCUGCUGACAAUGAUAGAGGACGAUAUGUUGAGAGACCCUUAAUAUAUUGAUUUUGGGUUUAGAAUCCUUAUUUGAUAAACUAACAUAGAACUAUGAUUUAGAUAGAAAAAGACUUCUAUUCGAUUUUAAUCCUGACCUUGUAAACAAACUCCAAGAUUGGUGCAUGUUUCGAGCUCGGAAGUAUAGAGCACACUGCUAUGAGACUAUACUUCACUGCUAAAUUGAACUUUGAUGACAGCAUGUAAGUUCAUCAUUCUUGGUGAGUGGUACAUGUGCAAAUGUGCAAUUUACAUCAUUUUAACUUUGGGGUGCUUAGUUUAAUGUUGGAAUGCAAUGACAUAGUUCAACUAAUCAAAACAUUAUACAUCUUAUGAUCCAAUGAUUCCAAUCCCUACCUUUGAAUUGUUGAACUAAAAAAACUUUUAAAAGCUUCUAAUGAAUUAAAGCCAAAUUCAAAUGUCUCAAUGGUUGGCUGCAUUAAAAAAUAUAUUUUAAAAUUUUAAAAGCAUUUAAAUCCACUUUUAAAUCUUUUUAGGAAACCGUUAAUACUUUUUUUCCUAAAUGUAUUCGUUGGAAAAUUUUGUCAUCUAAAGAUGUUAUUCGGUAAGCUGUCCAAACAUUUUUUUGAAGGAUAGAUGUGAUAAGAGAGCUAAAAACAGAUAAGGUUCUCAGCUCAAAUAAAACACAGAAUACCCUGUUGGAUAAAACCCCAUAAAAAAAAGUUCUUUUGACCCCUACUUGGGGAAGAGACACUACAAAAAAAGACUUGCAGGGAAGCUAGGCCUCCGUCAACAUAGGGUAUGUUCAAACUUAUUGCAAAACCUAUCAUAAAAAAAAAAAUCUCAGAAUGGUGACCAAAUUGCUUUAUUAGUAGUAGCUUCAAAGUUUUAUAUGCAAUGAUUUACAUAUAAAGCUUGACGUUACUAAUAAAGCAAACCUAAACAACUGUGAAUUUACUAUUCGAAAUUUUACAUAUAAAUCAGGUGAACGAAUUCCCACAGUGAAGAAUUAAUGGAAAAGUAAGCUUAGAAAAGUUAGUCCUUGCUACUUAGUAGUUGCAUUUUGAGAUUUGAUGCUUAAAAGACAAUUAUUUUAUGCCUUUUCUUUUCUCUUGUUAAAUUCAAUCAUUGGCUUAUUUGGGCUCUAAAUCCUACCCUCAGAAUAGAAGUUUGUUUGAUAGCUUUUGUAUGUUAUAGAUCUUGUUGUCACUGUCUAGAUGUAAUCCACUGGAAGCCAAUUUCACGCGACUGGCAAUUUGGGGUCCAUUUGUGAACAACUACAACAGCCCAUUCUUCAAAUCAAUUCUUUAGGGCUGGCCAUCACCAACUCAUCAAUAAUAUAUUGGCCCUUAGAUGUGUUGAAGUGAAAAUUUCAAUAUUUUGGGCACAAGCUUUAGCCGGUAGGGACAAAAGACUCAAAACUCAAACUCCACAUCCUUUUUAAUUUUAAUUUCUUUUUUGUCUUUAGCUGGCAACUUUUCUAUAUACUAAGCAGUUGAUUUAGAAGUUAGGAGAGGGAGACAAAGUUGAUUUAGAAUUUUAGGGGUAGCUCAUCCGUCUGGCUGUCAUCCAACGAACAAGUAAAAGCAACCGAGUCUAUGAAAGGGGUGGGGGUUGGUUGCAGACACGGAUUCCUUUCUUGGCUUUCAUAUUAUUAUUUACAUUUCUUUUUCUUAUAGACUUCAUUGAAUUAUUGCUGGAUGUUGACAGAGAAACUAACACCAUUGAAAAUACUGUUCAUAUUUCUAGCUUUGUACUAUUACGUUUCCUUUUUCUUGCUCUGACACCCUUCAAUUUUACACUUUCAGUGUUAAAAGAAAGACAUGGCCGGCAGUGUUAUAUCUCCUUCUAUACUAUAUUAUAUAGCUUGUUGUUUGUUGUACUUGUGCCCAACUUUUGCUUGAACCACACGUGAGAUCUUUUUUCCCCAACCUACAGCCUGCAUUUAUUAGUAGUCCUCCUAACCCUUUUCUAGGGACCCGGCUUACAUCUGGUUGCAUAAAUUAUUUCUAAACAUCAAAUUUUUCUACCUUGUGUUUUCUAGUUUCAACUGUAUCUAUUCUCGUGUAAAUCUUACAUUAAAUUCGUUUGAAUUUUGGUGGGGAGUAUUUUACUUCCAGUCCAAAGUUUUUUUUUGGUCCA
Long non-coding RNA from Cucumis sativus (cucumber), 3219 nucleotides. RefSeq lists it as uncharacterized. The transcript has 2 exons. Lineage: Eukaryota; Viridiplantae; Streptophyta; Magnoliopsida; Cucurbitales; Cucurbitaceae. The record is from RefSeq and is a predicted model, not a curated record.